Molecule: ribosomal RNA, 637 nt
Filed under: uncultured bacterium
Lineage: Bacteria
Description: bacterial SSU rRNA
Rfam family: Bacterial small subunit ribosomal RNA
Source: RNAcentral
GCUCAACCGGGGAGGGUCAUUGGAAACUGGGGAACUUGAGUGCAGAAGAGGAGAGUGGAAUUCCACGUGUAGCGGUGAAAUGCGUAGAGAUGUGGAGGAACACCAGUGGCGAAGGCGACCCUCUGGUCUGUAACUGACGCUGAGGCGCGAAAGCGUGGGGAGCGAACAGGAUUAGAUACCCUGGUAGUCCACGCCGUAAACGAUGAGUGCUAAGUGUUAGGGGGUUUCCGCCCCUUAGUGCUGCAGCUAACGCAUUAAGCACUCCGCCUGGGGAGUACGGUCGCAAGACUGAAACUCAAAGGAAUUGACGGGGGCCCGCACAAGCGGUGGAGCAUGUGGUUCAAUUCGAAGCAACGCGAAGAACCUUACCAGGUCUUGACAUCCUCUGACAACCCUAGAGAUAGGGCUUUCCCUUCGGGGACAGAGUGACAGGUGGUGCAUGGUUGUCGUCAGCUCGUGUCGUGAGAUGUUGGGUUAAGUCCCGCAACGAGCGCAACCCUUGAUCUUAGUUGCCAGCAUUCAGUUGGGCACUCUAAGGUGACUGCCGGUGACAAACCGGAGGAAGGUGGGGAUGACGUCAAAUCAUCAUGCCCCUUAUGACCUGGGCUACACACGUGCUACAAUGGACAGAACAAAG